This 253-nucleotide ribosomal RNA is filed under the name uncultured bacterium. RNAcentral describes it as "partial 16S ribosomal RNA". It matches the Rfam family "Bacterial small subunit ribosomal RNA", at positions 524 to 776 of the family's 1533-position model. The record is from RNAcentral.
GACAGAGGUUGCAAGCGUUGUUCGGAAUUACUGGGCAUAAAGCGCACGUAGGCGGUCCGCUAAGUCCGAUGUGAAAUCCCCCGGCUCAACCGGGGAAUUGCGUCAGAUACUGGCGGGCUUGAGGUCGAUAGGGGUGAGUGGAACUCCAGGUGGAGCGGUGAAAUGCGUAGAUAUCUGGAGGAACACCGGUGGCGAAAGCGACUCACUGGAUCGAAUCUGACGCUGAGGUGCGAAAGCUAGGGUAGCAAACGGG